GAUGAACGCUGGCGGCGUGCUUAACACAUGCAAGUCGAACGGAAAGGCUCCUGCUUGCAGGGGUACUCGAGUGGCGAACGGGUGAGUAACACGUGGGUGAUCUGCCCUGCACUUCGGGAUAAGCCUGGGAAACUGGGUCUAAUACCGGAUAGGACCACAUUUUGGAUGGUGUGGUGGAAAGUUAUUCGGUGUGGGAUGAGCUCGCGGCCUAUCAGCUUGUUGGUGGGGUAAUGGCCUACCAAGGCGUCGACGGGUAGCCGGCCUGAGAGGGUGUACGGCCACAUUGGGACUGAGAUACGGCCCAGACUCCUACGGGAGGCAGCAGUGGGGAAUAUUGCACAAUGGGCGCAAGCCUGAUGCAGCGACGCCGCGUGGGGGAUGACGGCCUUCGGGUUGUAAACUCCUUUCGCUAGGGACGAAGCGCAAGUGACGGUACCUGGAGAAGAAGCACCGGCUAACUACGUG
This 465-nucleotide ribosomal RNA is filed under the name uncultured bacterium. RNAcentral's name for it is "partial 16S ribosomal RNA". It matches the Rfam family "Bacterial small subunit ribosomal RNA", at positions 28 to 507 of the family's 1533-position model. The record is from RNAcentral.